UGGGGAAUUUUGCGCAAUGGGCUAACGCCUGACGCAGCAACGCCGCGUGGAGGAUGAAGGUCUUUGGAUUGUAAACUCCUGUCGACCGGGAAAAAGCAACUCGACCUAACACGUCGGGGAGUUGAUUGUACCGGUGGAGGAAGCCCCGGCUAACUUCGUGCCAGCAGCCGCGGUAAGACGAAGGGGGCUAGCGUUGUUCGGAAUUACUGGGCGUAAAGCGCGUGUAGGCGGUUGUCCAAGUUGGAUGUGAAAGCCUUGAGCUCAACUCAAGAAAUGCAUUCAGGACUGGAUGACUAGAGGACCGGAGAGGAUAGUGGAAUUCCCAGUGUAGUGGUGAAAUACGUAGAGAUUGGGAAGAACACCAGUGGCGAAGGCGGCUAUCUGGACGGUUUCUGACGCUAAGACGCGAAAGCGUGGGGAGCAAAC
Molecule: ribosomal RNA, 426 nt
Filed under: uncultured bacterium
Lineage: Bacteria
Description: bacterial SSU rRNA
Rfam family: Bacterial small subunit ribosomal RNA
Source: RNAcentral